RNAcentral lists this unclassified non-coding RNA (2626 nucleotides) under Limulus polyphemus (Atlantic horseshoe crab). RNAcentral's name for it is "tRNA:m(4)X modification enzyme TRM13 homolog, transcript variant X3". Lineage: Eukaryota; Metazoa; Arthropoda; Merostomata; Xiphosura; Limulidae. The record is from RNAcentral.
AAAACAACAAGCUUCAAUAAUGGGUCUUUUGGAGUCUUGUGGACUGGUCGAAAACAACACUUGUUUUGUGGAAUUUGGUGCAGGAAGAGUUGAGUUAUUGGACUGUUCAAGCAGUACCAGAUGAAUCGACCUGCAGCUUUGUGUCAAUAGAUAAGGGUUGUCAACGACAUAAGGUAAGAAGGAUCAAGUUAUAUACUUUUAUCAUUGACAUUGUUUACUUGUUUUUUAUUGAUGGCUUGCUGUUGUUAGGACAGUUAUGUCGUUAAUACCACGUAAAGGUCAGUACUGAUCCUUAUUUCGUUAGUGCCACGUAAAGGUCAGUACUGAUCCUUAUGCCGUUAGUGCCACGUAAAGGUCAGUACUGAUCCUUGUGUCAUUGGUGCCACAUAAAGGUCAGUACUGAUCCUUAUUUCGUUAAUACCACGUAAAGGUCAGUACUGAUCCUUAUGUCGUUAGUGCCACGUAAAGGUCAGUACUGAUCCUUAUGUCGUUAAUACCAAGUAAAAGUCAGUACUGAUCCUUGUGUCGUUAGUGCCACGUAAAGGUCAGUACUGAUCCUUAUUUCGUUAGUACCACAUAAAGGUCAGUACUGAUCCUUAUGUCAUUAGUACCACAUAAAGGUCAGUACUGAUCUUUAUCCAAGCUAGUACCAUAUGUACCUUCAUAGAAUGGCAUUGGACCUGGUCCUGGUCACUCUCCAUAUGUAUACUGUGUUAACACGUUUCAUGUCUUAUUUUUACUUGAGGAAAGAAGGGCACAAGGUGAUCUUAUUAAGCCUUACAAGAUUAUCAGGGGAUUGAUAGGAUAAAGGCCUCUGAUUUUUUUGUGCUGUAUUCUGAGGAUAUUAGGAUAAAUGAAUACAAGUUCAAGAUUUGGAAAAGACAUGCUAGGCUCCAGUUAAGACAGUUUUAUUUUGCUAACAGGGUUUAUAAAAUGAGUUGCCAUUAACAGUAGUGAAGGCUGAUACUUUACAAGAGGGGAGUUGAUGAUUUCUUCUAAAUUAAAAGUAGGAGAAACAAAUAAUAAUGUGAAGAAUAAUUCAUCAGGUGAGCAGGAUGCUCUCCAGUGUGUUGUUUUAACUGUCCAUGUGUAAACUAGCUAUCUUGUGGUGAUGGAGCUACACCAUUGUCCAUCUAACAUAAAGGUCAAUCUUUGCAAAAGUGAAUGUUAAUCAUUCGAGAAGUCAAGCCUGCCAGUUGCUUCAAGUCCAUAUUAUCAAAUAUCAUUGAAAGUGAUCUUCUGUGUAAACAAGUCCACAUCCUGCUAACCACACUUUAUGGAAAUGUUGUCAUAAUAUAUUGGUUGUGUUUGAUCAGCAUCUAAUCAACUUAUUGUUUUCAACUUCAAUAAUGUCUUUGUUGUGUUUGAUCAGCAUCUAAUCAACUUAUUGUUUUCAACUUCAAUAAUGCCUUUAUUGUGUUUGAUCAGCAUCAAAUCAACUUAUUGUUUUCAACUUCAAUAAUGUCUUUGUUGUGUUUGAUCAGCAUCAAAUCAACUUAUUGUUUUCAACUUCAAUAAUGUAUUUGUUGUGUUUGAUCAGCAUCUAAUCAACUUAUUGUUUUCAAUUUCAAUAGUAUCUUUGUUGUGUUUGAUCAGCAUCUAAUCAACUUAUUGUUUUCAGCUUCAUUAAUGUCUUCAUCAGUCUGCAUAUGCUGUUAUUCAGAUUGGUAACUAACAUUACACCAACUUGCCUUCACUAUGCUAUGGAAUAUAGUCACCUGUUUUACAUGAAAAUGAACUCGCAGGUGCUACUGACAUUAGUAAAUUAUCUGUAGGAGUGUCUUGCUAGAACAUGGAAAAACUGAUAUUUCCUUACUUGUUUUGAACAGCGUAAUUUAAUUAUUUCACACAGUAUUUCUACAAGUGAAUUUGCAGAUUUUCACAAAAUCGUUUUGUAAUGAAUAUAACGCUGUUAAGUAAAUACCACAAUUUGUAAAUUGUAUUGAGAUAAGAAAUUUUUUUAAAGUAGUUUAUUAAUUUAUAAUGUAAUAUGAUGAUGUUAUUUAUGCAUGUUGUAAUAAUAAUUAAAAUGUUUUUUUGAUGCAAGUUACCUAUCAUAUCAACCAUGUGUUUGCCAUGAUCUUGGCUUGAGGUGAACUUGAAAGAAAUUCUACAUUUUCUUGUUUAUUUAAAUAAAUAAUCCAUCAAAUGUGUUUUAUUUAUUUGUUUUAAGGCAGCAUUUAUGGAUGAAAAUUAAAAUAUUUUUCUUAUAAUGUAAUAAUUUUCAGUGGUGAAAAUGUGAUGAAUUUUUCACUUUAGUUUGAAAACAGAUUGAAAGGUGAAAAUGAACCGAGGAUAAAGAGAAUUAGAAUCGACAUUCAAGACCUUGUAUUAGGUAAAGUUCCCUGUGUAGCAAAUCACGAGGGAAAAAUCGUUGGACUAAGCAAGCACCUGUGUGGAGCUGCAACAGAUCUUUCUCUGCGUUGCCUUGUUGAAAACUGUUGUGACCAGAACAAUGGAAACUUGAAACAAUGCGUUGAAGGACUUGUUCUGGCACCAUGCUGUCACCAUCGUUGUUCUUGGCAAAGCUAUGUUGGUCAGUUGUUUCUAAAGUCGCACGGUUUCACACCACGAGACUUUCAACUCAUGUGUGGUAUCGCAAGUUGGGCAACUUGUGGAUCCACAC